Molecule: ribosomal RNA, 468 nt
Filed under: uncultured bacterium
Lineage: Bacteria
Description: partial 16S ribosomal RNA
Rfam family: Bacterial small subunit ribosomal RNA (bases 48-468)
Source: RNAcentral
GGGGGGGGGGGGGGGGGGGGGGGGGGGGGGCGGGGCGGAGGGGAGGGCCCUGGGGGCGUGGGGGGCUGGAGGGGGGGGCGGGGGAGGAACAGGGGAGUAGCCGGGCCUCGACUUUGGGGGAGCUGCAGGGAACUGGGGCUAAGCUAGGAUAGGCGACGCUGCGGCAGGGUGGGGGUGGGAUAGUUUCGGCGGUUGGGGAUGGACUCGGGGCUGAUCAGCGUGUUAGUGGGGUAGUGGCUGACCAAGGCUCUGACGGGUAGCCGGCCUGGGAGGGUGACCGGCAACAUUGGGACUGAGGUACGGCCCAGAGUCAUACGGGGGGCAGCAGUGGGGAGUAUUGCACAAUGGGCGGAAGCCUGAUGCAGCAACGCCGCGUGCGGGAUGACGGCCUUCGGGUUGUAAACCGCUUGCGCCUGUGACGAAGCGUGAGUGACGGUAAUGGGUAAAGAAGCACCGGCUAACUACGUG